This 1444-nucleotide long non-coding RNA is filed under the name Apteryx owenii (little spotted kiwi). RNAcentral's name for it is "lncRNA (ENSAOWG00000001884.1)". Lineage: Eukaryota; Metazoa; Chordata; Aves; Apterygiformes; Apterygidae. The record is from RNAcentral.
AAUGUUUGUUCUCCCUCCCUCUCCACCUUUUUCUCUUUUUGCAGGCAAAGGCAGCUCAAGCAUCUCAUCCGAUGUGAGUUCAAGUACAGAUCACACACCCACCAAAGCCCAGAAGAAUGCAGCUACCAGCGAAGCAGGUCAUUUCCCAGCAUGUGAGAUGAUGGGGAACGUUACACCUAUCAGCACUUUUGAGGACUGCUUUUGGCCUCUGGAAACUGGUCUCGUUUUGGCUGCAGCACGGCACAUCCCAGCUGGGGUUCGCCGAUCCUCCUCUUCUGGCAUGUGAGAGGAGAGACUGUGGUGCUGAAUUCCCAAAAUGUGAGCAAGAGCCAGACUCUGGAGAGGAGGCCCUCAACUGCAAGAGUCAUGCGGUGCGGUGACACAAGAGGAUGCUCUUGGAUCUCUGGAGCAUUUCAGCAAUCUAGCAAAUAAUGCAGCUCCACUUGGAGUCACACCAACCCAGUUGACGGAGUGGAACCCUCUGAAUCUGGCUCGGCGUUGAAGAAAAAGUAUCUUGUAACUUCGUCCUCAGGCAUGACAGGUUUGCAGGAUCCAGAAGAGCAGAAAUAAGCUGUUAAUCAAAGACAGCUGCUGUUUUGGUCCUUGAACUUAGACUGUGUUCUGCAAAUAGUAAGAAAUAUCCUGGAACAUUUCACCUUGUCUGUCCCUCUGAGUUUGCAUUAAAUUCUGCACGGUUAUUUCCUAUGAGAAUACUUGCUUUCUGUUCCUUAAUGUUUCUGAUUUUGGAGAACCUUUCUGCCCGCAUAUGUGCCGAAGUAAUGCCACUGUAGUUCCUUCAGCCUGGCAUGUAAUUUCUCAAGUUUGAGUCAUCUUAAGAGAAUGUCUAAACCUGUGAUCCUGAUAAAUUAAUGGAAGGAGGAGUAAGCACUGGGCAUACACAUCCAGCUUGUCUAGAAUCUCAGGUAAUGGGUGGAGGAAUUUUUCAGGAACUCGUACUGUUUUUCUUUCUGAAGAGCAGGAAAGGGUUGGUUUGUGCCCACUGAUGACAGUGUAUGUCAGAGAAUAGCCCAUCAGUACGUUACUGUGUAUGCAGGUUUUGUCUGCUUUUAGAACUACAAUAAUAUUUAGAGAAAGAGAAUGCAAUUGAUUUGCAUUUUAUUUCCCUUUAGAGAUACAAUAUUCAUUACAAGUCAUUAAAAUUUUUUAAAUAGCUGCUAUAGCUGGCUGAAAUGUACAUAGAAGGGUAACUUUAUGAACUUAUAAAAAUCUACAUGCUUAAUAGCCACCAUAAGUCUUUGCAGAAAAAUUAUACUAAAAUUUCCAUAGGAUAAGUAUUGAAUUUAGGAUGGGCUCUUGGGUGUAACUAUACCAAAAUAAGUCUAUUGCACUUUUUUUUUUUUAAACACUGUCAGAACUGGUGGUCAGACAAAAGUGCAGAAGAUUGUGUAAUAAAUAAAUUAUGCUUCCAAGAAAUGUCUUGCCC